RNAcentral lists this transfer RNA (63 nucleotides) under Dicyathifer mannii. Its description in RNAcentral is "tRNA-His". Lineage: Eukaryota; Metazoa; Mollusca; Bivalvia; Myida; Teredinidae. The record is from RNAcentral.
GCUGCCCUAGUUUAUUUAAAAUGUUGCGCUGUGGCUGUAAAGAAAAACUAAGUUUGGGUGGUA